UUCAACAAUGUAGAAAACAUUAUGUGGAUCUAGCUUUCAUGGCAGGAGAAAAAGAACAACAAAAAGAGGAAGAAGAGGAGAAAUUGCAGAAAAUAGUGCAACUAAUGAAAUAUGAACACGUCGUCUACCCCGUGAAAGGCUUUCCAGUUCAGAUCCGUCGUUUUCAAAUCUACUCCAGAUCUAAAAUGUUUCGAAGAGUAUGUCGACUGUACAUCAAUUGUUGUCAAUUAUAUGUUAAUUUGUAUAUCAAUUGUAUCUGAAUUGUAUGUCAUGCACAUCAAUUGUAUCACUUAUGUAUCUCUUGUGUUUUGCUUGUA
Non-coding RNA from Nicotiana tabacum (common tobacco), 317 nucleotides. NCBI's taxonomy places the organism in Eukaryota, Viridiplantae, Streptophyta, Magnoliopsida, Solanales, Solanaceae. The record is from RefSeq and is a predicted model, not a curated record.